This 1188-nucleotide long non-coding RNA is filed under the name Chrysemys picta bellii (western painted turtle). Its description in RNAcentral is "lncRNA (ENSCPBG00000021981.1)". The record is from RNAcentral. Lineage: Eukaryota; Metazoa; Chordata; Testudines; Emydidae.
GGGAGGGAUGGGCAGUGGGGGGGCAGCCCCCCGGAGUUAUGUUUCCAUGGAGAUGUGUUUGAUUCUGCCCCACUGCGGGGGGAGGGGGCCACAACCCCUCCUGUACCCCCCAGGUUGAGGGGGGGGUUGAUCCAGGGGGGUUAUAUUCUGUGGUCACUCGCUCCCACCCCAAAUCCUCCUCUCCUGCCCCCCACACCCGCUGAGCUGUGGGGACAGAAGUCUUCCAGAUGUGGGGGAAAUGGGGGGGGAGGGGCUGCUGUUGCAGAUGUGUGUGGGGGUACCCCAGAUGUGGUAGGUCCCUUUGCAGCAGUGUGUGUGGGGGGUCCCUGACAGUCUGCAACCCCUCCACAUCCAAGUGAUGGGUCCCUGGGGAGUCCCUUUGCCUCCCUGAACCCCAGCAUGUCCCUUCCUGCGGGGAGUACCUCCGCCCCCACGUCCUGCUGGGUCAGCAUGUGGGGUGACCGCUGGCUGACGCCAGUGAGUUCAGUGGGGCGGCUGCCAGCUCCCCUUCCCCACUUAGUACUCAGGGCUCACUUUCUCCCAGCCCUUACUCCUACAGUACUCGGCCCUUACUCUGCCUCCAUCCCCUGUUACUCAGUCCUUAGCCUAGCCCUAUUUCUAUGUUACUCAGCCCUUACUCCUACAGUACUCUGCCCCUACUCUGCCCCUACUCAGUCUUAUCUUAAAUGUUACUCAGCCCUAAUGCAAAUGUUACUUGGUCCUUACCCAAACAGUACUCCAUCCUUACAGUCCCAACUUCGUUGUUGUUCAGUCCUUACUCAAAGAGUAAGCUGACCCUACUAAAAUGUUACUACCUCCUUACUGAAACACUACUUGGUCCGUACUGAAACACUACUCCAUUAUUUCUCAAAUCUUACUCAGUCCCUACUCAGUCUUACCCUUAGAUAUUACUUAUUUUUACUCAAAAGUUAUUAAAUCUUUACUCACUCCUGAAUCAAAUGUUACUCGGUCCAUACCCAGCCCUUACUUUGGCUUAGUUGAUUUGUUACUCCUUCCUUACUCAAAUGUUACUUGGUCCCUUUCCAGCACCUACUCAGUCUUACUGAGUAGGUAAGUGGGUGCUCAGUAAGGGUGCUCGGUCCUUAAUCAAACACUACUCAGCCAUUACUUGUUACUCAGGCAAAUCCCUCCUUGUCCCUGCUCUAGUCCAACACUGCUCAGGAUUGG